UUAGAGGAAGUAAAAGUCGUAACAAGGUUUCCGUAGGUGAACCUGCGGAAGGAUCAUUACCGAGUGAGGGCCCUCUGGGUCCAACCUCCCACCCGUGUUUAUUUUACCUUGUUGCUUCGGCGGGCCCGCCUUAACUGGCCGCCGGGGGGCUUACGCCCCCGGGCCCGCGCCCGCCGAAGACACCCUCGAACUCUGUCUGAAGAUUGUAGUCUGAGUGAAAAUAUAAAUUAUUUAAAACUUUCAACAACGGAUCUCUUGGUUCCGGCAUCGAUGAAGAACGCAGCGAAAUGCGAUACGUAAUGUGAAUUGCAAAUUCAGUGAAUCAUCGAGUCUUUGAACGCACAUUGCGCCCCCUGGUAUUCCGGGGGGCAUGCCUGUCCGAGCGUCAUUGCUGCCCUCAAGCACGGCUUGUGUGUUGGGCCCCGUCCUCCGAUCCCGGGGGACGGGCCCGAAAGGCAGCGGCGGCACCGCGUCCGGUCCUCGAGCGUAUGGGGCUUUGUCACCCGCUCUGUAGGCCCGGCCGGCGCUUGCCGAUCAACCCAAAUUUUUAUCCAGGUGACCUCGAU
This 566-nucleotide small RNA is filed under the name Penicillium chrysogenum. RNAcentral's name for it is "eukaryotic LSU rRNA". The stretch from base 236 to 388 matches the Rfam family "5.8S ribosomal RNA". Lineage: Eukaryota; Fungi; Ascomycota; Eurotiomycetes; Eurotiales; Aspergillaceae. The record is from RNAcentral.